This 875-nucleotide ribosomal RNA is filed under the name uncultured archaeon. RNAcentral describes it as "bacterial SSU rRNA". It matches the Rfam family "Archaeal small subunit ribosomal RNA", at positions 1 to 879 of the family's 1478-position model. The record is from RNAcentral.
UUUUCCGGUUGAUCCUGCCGGACCUGACUGCUAUCGGAUUGAUACUAAGCCAUGCGAGUCAUUGUAGCAAUACAAGGCAGACGGCUCAGUAACGCGUAGUCAAUCUACCCUAUGGACGGGAAUAACCUCGGGAAACUGAGAAUAAUGCCCGAUAGAACAUUAUGCCUGGAAUGGUUUAUGUUUCAAAUGAUUUAUCGCCAUAGGAUGGGACUGCGGCCUAUCAGUUUGUGGGUGAGGUAAUGGCCCACCAAGACUAUUACAGGUACGGGCUCUGAGAGGAGUAGCCCGGAGAUGGGUACUGAGACACGGACCCAGGCCCUAUGGGGCGCAGCAGGCGAGAAAACUUUGCAAUGUGCGAAAGCACGACAAGGUUAAUCCGAGUGGUUUCUGCUAAAGAAACCUUUUGUCAGUCCUAGAAACACUAACGAAUAAGGGGUGGGCAAGUUCUGGUGUCAGCCGCCGCGGUAAAACCAGCACCUCAAGUGGUCAGGAUGAUUAUUGGGCCUAAAGCAUCCGUAGCUCGUUUUGUAAGUUUUCGGUUAAAUCCAUGCGCUUAACGUAUGGGCUGCCGGGAAUACUGCAUAACUAGGAAGUGGGAGAGGUAGACGGUACUCGGGAGGAAGGGGUAAAAAUCCUUUGAUCUCUUGAUGACCACCUGUGGGCGAAGGCGGUCUACCAGAACACGUUCGACGGUGAGGGAUGAAAGCUGGGGGAGCAAACCGGAUUAGAUACCCGGGUAGUCCCAGCUGUGAACGAUGCAGACUCGGUGAUGCACUGGCUUUUGGCCAGUGCAGUGCCGCAGGGAAGCCGUUAAGUUUGCCGCCUGGGAAGUACGUACGCAAGUAUGAAACUUAAAGGAAUUGGCGGGGGAGCAC